RNAcentral lists this ribosomal RNA (253 nucleotides) under uncultured bacterium. RNAcentral describes it as "partial 16S ribosomal RNA". It matches the Rfam family "Bacterial small subunit ribosomal RNA", at positions 524 to 776 of the family's 1533-position model. The record is from RNAcentral.
UACAGAGGGUGCGAGCGUUGUUCGGAAUUAUUGGGCGUAAAGCGCGUGUAGGCGGCGAUUUAAGUCGGGUGUGAAAGCCCUCAGCUCAACUGAGGAAGCGCGCCCGAGACUGAAUGGCUUGAGUGCCGAAGAGGGUGGCGGAAUUCCCCAAGUAGAGGUGAAAUUCGUAGAGAUGGGGAGGAACACCGGAGGCGAAGGCGGCCACCUGGGAGGUAACUGACGCUGAGACGCGAAAGCGUGGGGAGCAAACAGG